RNAcentral lists this transfer RNA (73 nucleotides) under Catenulispora sp. Its description in RNAcentral is "tRNA-Lys". It matches the Rfam family "tRNA". Rfam says of the family: Transfer RNA (tRNA) molecules are approximately 80 nucleotides in length. Their secondary structure includes four short double-helical elements and three loops (D, anti-codon, and T loops). The record is from RNAcentral. Lineage: Bacteria; Bacillati; Actinomycetota; Actinomycetes; Catenulisporales; Catenulisporaceae.
GCGCCGCUAGCUCAAUUGGCAGAGCAGCGGACGCUUAAUCCGCGGGUUCGGGGUUCAAGUCCCUGGCGGCGCA